UCCACACAGAUGUGGGUUUUAGAUGUGGAGGCUGUCCUCAUGUCCAUGGCGAGACAGCUGAAUGCUUCUCUGGAGAAAUAUCCUCGUUAUAAAAGUGGAAACAGCCCAGAGUGUCGCCCUCCAUCUUCUUCAAAGCACAGCAGGUCCCUCUCCAGUCAACCAUAGAGGCUUUAGAUGUUCUUAAAUUAUUUGAAGGCAGAAACACAUUUUUCUGUUCCCUUUUUCCCUUCACUUUAAGCCAUUCCUAUUGAUUGAUUUAUAGCACUGUGGCUUUGUGUGCUGAAAAUAAAAAAAAAUAAUAAUAAUAAAUAAAUAUAUAUAUAUAUUGGUCUGGACACAGUUUUCAGAACAAACCUGACUGCUUCAAUCACUCACGCAAUGAUCGCUUCUCUUAAGCUGUUGUUUGACAUUCAGGCGAGGAAAGUGAUUACUCAACUGUCCCAUAAGCAAUGAAAAGAAGUGUCCAACUUGAAGUUCUCUGGAAUGUAACUUUUUGUCAUUUCUCUGUUCUCAGACCAGAAAUAAACAAGUGUUUUCUGUGA
This is a long non-coding RNA of Micropterus salmoides (largemouth bass), 542 nucleotides long. RefSeq lists it as uncharacterized. The transcript has 2 exons. The record is from RefSeq and is a predicted model, not a curated record. Lineage: Eukaryota; Metazoa; Chordata; Actinopteri; Centrarchiformes; Centrarchidae.